UAGGGAAUCUUCGGCAAUGGGGGGAACCCUGACCGAGCAACGCCGCGUGAGCGAAGAAGGUUUUCGGAUCGUAAAGCUCUGUUGUUAAGGAAGAACGAGUGUGAGAAUGGAAAGUUCAUACUGUGACGGUACUUAACCAGAAAGGGACGGCUAACUACGUGCCAGCAGCCGCGGUAAUACGUAGGUCCCGAGCGUUGUCCGGAUUUAUUGGGCGUAAAGCGAGCGCAGGCGGUUAGAUAAGUCUGAAGUUAAAGGCAGUGGCUCAACCAUUGUAGGCUUUGGAAACUGUUUAACUUGAGUGCAGAAGGGGAGAGUGGAAUUCCAUGUGUAGCGGUGAAAUGCGUAGAUAUAUGGAGGAACACCGGUGGCGAAAGCGGCUCUCUGGUCUGUAACUGACGCUGAGGCUCGAAAGCGUGGGGAGCGAACAGG
RNAcentral lists this ribosomal RNA (429 nucleotides) under Bacteroidota bacterium. RNAcentral describes it as "Bacteroidetes bacterium partial 16S ribosomal RNA". It matches the Rfam family "Bacterial small subunit ribosomal RNA", at positions 355 to 776 of the family's 1533-position model. Lineage: Bacteria; Pseudomonadati; Bacteroidota. The record is from RNAcentral.